RNAcentral lists this ribosomal RNA (491 nucleotides) under uncultured bacterium. Its description in RNAcentral is "bacterial SSU rRNA". It matches the Rfam family "Bacterial small subunit ribosomal RNA", at positions 28 to 517 of the family's 1533-position model. The record is from RNAcentral.
GAUGAACGCUAGCGGGAGGCUUAACACAUGCAAGUCGAAGGGCAGCACGUCUUCGGAUGGUGGCGACUGGCGAACGGGUGCGUAACGCGUAUGCAACCUACCCUCAACAGGGGAAUAGCCCAGAGAAAUUUGGAUUAAUACCCCAUAGUAUUACAGAUUCGCAUGUUUCUGUGAUUAAAGUUCCAACGGUUGAGGAUGGGCAUGCGUGACAUUAGCUUGUUGGUGAGGUAACGGCUCACCAAGGCAACGAUGUCUAGGGGUUCUGAGAGGAUGAUCCCCCCACACUGGUACUGAGACACGGACCAGACUCCUACGGGAGGCAGCAGUGAGGAAUAUUGGACAAUGGAGGCAACUCUGAUCCAGCCAUCCCGCGUGCAGGAAGAAGGCCCUAUGGGUUGUAAACUGCUUUUUAUACAGGAAUAACCCCUCUACGUGUAGAGGGCUGAAGGUACUGUAAGAAUAAGCACCGGCUAACUCCGUGCCAGCAGCCG